GCAAGUCGAACGAUGAACCACUUCGGUGGGGAUUAGUGGCGAACGGGUGAGUAACACGUGGGCAAUCUGCCCUGCACUCUGGGACAAGCCCUGGAAACGGGGUCUAAUACCGGAUAAUACUCCCGCACUCAUGUGUGGGGGUUAAAAGCUCCGGCGGUGCAGGAUGAGCCCGCGGCCUAUCAGCUUGUUGGUGAGGUAAUGGCUCACCAAGGCGACGACGGGUAGCCGGCCUGAGAGGGCGACCGGCCACACUGGGACUGAGACACGGCCCAGACUCCUACGGGAGGCAGCAGUGGGGAAUAUUGCACAAUGGGCGAAAGCCUGAUGCAGCGACGCCGCGUGAGGGAUGACGGCCUUCGGGUUGUAAACCUCUUUCAGCAGGGAAGAAGCGAAAGUGACGGUACCUGCAGAAGAAGCGCCGGCUAACUACGUGCCAGCAGCCGCGGUAAUACGUAGGGCGCAAGCGUUGUCCGGAAUUAUUGGGCGUAAAGAGCUCGUAGGCGGCUUGUCACGUCGGGUGUGAAAGCCCGGGGCUUAACCCCGGGUCUGCAUUCGAUACGGGCUAGCUAGAGUGUGGUAGGGGAGAUCGGAAUUCCUGGUGUAGCGGUGAAAUGCGCAGAUAUCAGGAGGAACACCGGUGGCGAAGGCGGAUCUCUGGGCCAUUACUGACGCUGAGGAGCGAAAGCGUGGGGAGCGAACAGGAUUAGAUACCCUGGUAGUCCACGCCGU
Molecule: ribosomal RNA, 729 nt
Filed under: Streptomyces sp. YIM 67276
Lineage: Bacteria; Bacillati; Actinomycetota; Actinomycetes; Kitasatosporales; Streptomycetaceae
Description: bacterial SSU rRNA
Rfam family: Bacterial small subunit ribosomal RNA
Source: RNAcentral